CGCAAGGCCCAGAACAAGCCGCACAGGCAUAAAGCAAGCAUCAGCCAUUAUACAAGGCGGCACCAGAAAUCCUGAGACAAUCCGUGUUGACCAAUGCAACACGCAGUACCACCUGACUGACGGCACAUCCACCAACUGCGGGCAUACACGCAACACAGAAACCGGAAGCACUUGUUUCAGACAUCUGGUCUAUAGCAGCAGCCCAGUCGCCUGUACAAGCUACGCCCGCAUGG
Dermacentor andersoni is the source of this 233-nucleotide non-coding RNA. The record is from RefSeq and is a predicted model, not a curated record. Lineage: Eukaryota; Metazoa; Arthropoda; Arachnida; Ixodida; Ixodidae.